This 76-nucleotide transfer RNA is filed under the name Azospirillum brasilense. RNAcentral describes it as "tRNA-Glu". It matches the Rfam family "tRNA". Rfam says of the family: Transfer RNA (tRNA) molecules are approximately 80 nucleotides in length. Their secondary structure includes four short double-helical elements and three loops (D, anti-codon, and T loops). RNAcentral also lists the same sequence under 12 other names. The record is from RNAcentral. Lineage: Bacteria; Pseudomonadati; Pseudomonadota; Alphaproteobacteria; Rhodospirillales; Azospirillaceae.
GUCCCGUUCGUCUAGAGGCCUAGGACACCGCCCUUUCACGGCGGCGACACGGGUUCGAAUCCCGUACGGGACGCCA